Molecule: transfer RNA, 93 nt
Filed under: Salmo salar (Atlantic salmon)
Lineage: Eukaryota; Metazoa; Chordata; Actinopteri; Salmoniformes; Salmonidae
Rfam family: tRNA
About the family: Transfer RNA (tRNA) molecules are approximately 80 nucleotides in length.
Source: Rfam by way of RNAcentral
UUCCCUGUGGCUCAGUUGGUAGAGCAUGGUGUUUGCAAUGCCAGCAUGGUGUGUGCAACGCCAGGGUUGUGGGUUCAAUUCCCACUAGGGGGC